Molecule: long non-coding RNA, 3020 nt
Organism: Cavia porcellus (domestic guinea pig)
Lineage: Eukaryota; Metazoa; Chordata; Mammalia; Rodentia; Caviidae
Exons: 3
Source: RefSeq, a predicted model, not a curated record
AACUGUCUGUGCCUCGUCCCUCAUGACAAAUGAUGUCAGUGGGCCGUGGCGACCGCCCUCGAGAGGUCAGCGGCUUAGCCCGCACCUCGGCGCUCGCGGAAUCGGCUGGCGCGGCUCUGGGGCGGCACGGGCGGGGCUGCCUUGGGUCGCGCGCGGCACCGCGGUGACGUCACUCUUGCGCGCGCAGUAGGCGUGGCCUAAAUUUCAACGCAGUUGGCGGGAGCCGAGGCUGAGGGAGAGUCCAGGGCGCUGUCCUGCGAUGGAGCCCUCCGCCGGGAGCAAGGAGUAUACAGAAGGCACGGCGACCGGGGAGUGGAUGAAUACAAUCCCGGUUCCAAGACCACCCUCCAUUGAAGAAUUCACCAUAGUGAAGCCCAUUAGUCGUGGUGCCUUCGGGAAAGUGUAUCUGGGGCAGAAAGGCGACAAGUUGUACGCAGUCAAGCCAGGAGUGAUGGCACAUGCCUAUAAUUCAAGCACUUGGGAGGCUGAGGCAGAAGGAUCCUUGUGAGUUCAAGACCAGCCUCAAUUACAAAAGUGAUCUUAAGGCCAACCUGAACUGCACACAGCAACACUGACUCAAGAAAAGACCCCCCCCCCAAUGUGCUUUGUUACACAACUAUACUAUAAUGCCCAAAUACUCUAUAAGUAAUGGAAUAUCUUUUUGGUGGAGAUGUCAAGUCUCUUCUUCAUAUAUAUGCUUAUUUUGAUGAAGAGAUGGCUGUGAAGUAUAUUUCUGAAGUAGGGCUGGCUCUCAACUAACUUCAUAGACAUGAAAUCAUCCAGAGGUAAAUCAAAUUAUGUGUUAAAUGUUUGGAUAUCAAAUAUUUACUGUAACCAUUUGCCCAUAUUUCCAGAUUAAGGUUUAAUAGUAACUUGUGUGAGUUUAGAAAUUCUCUUACCUACUGUUUUGUCUCCCUGUGUUUGAAAUUAUGUUACUUUGAAUAUGAACAUAAUAUUUCAGUGGAAAGAUUUCAGUUCUUUUCCACUCUUUUGCCCUCAUACAAAAGUUCCAUACUGUAUAGUCCUAGCUGAUUUACACUACUUUGUUCUGUGUAAAGAAAGGUUAAGUUACUCUGCUCUGUUAAAGCUUAAUCUUACAUUAACAGAAAAGAAGAUACACAAUUUUGAACUGGCUUGUGGAUUAUUUUAUGUAAUGUGAUUAUUUUUCAUGGAAAAUAUAACAAUGUCACAGAUAAUCUAAAAUUAAAUCAUUUAACAUUUUGUGGAUUCAGAUGUACCAAAGAGCUUCUUUUGAAAGUUCUCCCAUUGUUUGCAAAGCCACUAAUAAAUACAUUUAUUUUAGAGGAAAUAAAUAGAAUUUGCCUCCUCUAUAACUCUUUUUUUUUCUCAGCUAUUUUAAUAUUAAAACUAGAUUUUCAGCUGGGCGUGGUGGUGCAUGCCUGAAAUCCCAGCACUUGGGAGGCUGAGGCAGGAGGAUUGUUGCAAGUUUGAGACCAGCCUGCGCCACAAAGUGAGUUCAAGGCCAGACUGAACUGCACUGUGAAACCCUGUCUCCAAAACAAAACACCUAGAUUUUCACUAGGCACAGUGGUGCAUGCCUGUAAUCUGAGCACUCAGGAGGUGCAGGCAGGAGGUUUGCUGUGAGUUCAAAACCAGCCUGAACUACAUAGCAAGAACUUGUUACAAAAAAAAACAAAAAAAAAUUUAAAAAAUAAAACUAGUCUUUUCUUUAGUUAUCUAUUUGCCUUUUGUUUUAUGUACAGGGAUUUGACAUCAGGCAAUAUACUGAUUUUUAAUGAGGGUCAUAUUAAAUUGACAAAUUUUGGUCUUUCCAAAGUGACUUUGAAUAGAGGUAAGAAAAAUACCAAAUAUGUACCUUUUUAAUGGUCCUGCAACAAUGAACAGCAGCAAGAAAAAAAAAAUUUUAGAGAAUACAUUUCACUAACUUACAUUGUUAUUUUUUUGUUUAUACUAAAUGAAAUUCAAUAUUUAUUUGUAGACUAUAUGUAAGUGCGUCAUUUUUCCACUAAAAGUGUAAAAUACUGUUUUACAUGCUCAGUAUUACAUGUUUAGCAUCCAUGAGGCCUUGAGCUCGAUCCCUAGCACAGAUACUUAGGUAGAUAAUCAAAAAUGGGAAUGGCCACUAUUAAAUUUUCAGACUGUUGAAAAUCCUUGGCUUUCAAGCAAGCACCUCCCCUUCCUGGUAAGCGGCGGCAGUGUGGCCCACUGCAGCGCUUCCAGGGGGAGAACCAGCAGUGUCCCCUGAGAUCCACGCCAUGUUGGAACUUAGGACUCUGGGAAGCCAAGCCAGCACCUCCCCUCCCUGGUAAGCGGAGGCAGGGUGGCAGACUGUAGCCCUUCCAGGGGGAGAACCAGCAGUGUCUCGUGAGAUCCACGCCAUGUUGGAACUUAGGACUCUGGGAAGCCAAGCCAGCACCUCCCCUCCCUGGUAAGCGGAGGCAGGGUGGCAGACUGCAGCCCUUCCAGGGGGAGAACCAGCAGUGUCUCCUGAGAUCCACGCCAUGCUGGAACUGAGGAUGCUGUGAAAACAAAUGACCAUCCUGCCUCCCUGCUUAGCAAUAGUGACCUACUGCUACAUGGCCUAGAGUCAAAUAUCCCACUUCCCCUAUCCUCCUGCUCCCCCCCCCCCGCCCAUUAGCAAAUGGGAACCAGAAAUCUGAGCAUCUCCUGGGAGGUUGACCAUAGCAAAUACUUCCGUUUACCAUUUCUUUGAAGGCAAAUAUUUUUAUUACUGUUUUGCUCUUUUCUGAUUAAUGGUACUGCUCUAUUCAGUAUUUUGUUUUGAUAAGUUCUAUAGUGUUCUAUAUUUCAUCUCAUUUUGAUAUACGUGAUUGAAAGAACAACUAUUAUAAAGAUAACAAAAUAUACUAUGAUACGUAUUACUGUUAUCCCGGUAACCUGCUGUGAAGUUCUGUACCAGUUUCACUGUACGAUUCUUAGUUGGCUUUAUUCUGACUUGUUCUGUUGUAUACUUUCAAAAUAAAAUAAAAUAAAAUAAAAUAAAAAUAAAAUAAAAUCCUUGGCUUUUUAAAAAGAAA